AAUUCAAAAAACAAAUUGUAAAAAAAAUAAUUCAUAUAUUCUUUUAUAGUUAUAAAUUUGAGAACGUGUAUAACUCGUUCUCAAUGAAUUACAAAUAUAAAGUUAAAAAUAAAUCACAAAACAGAGAAUCCAAGGUUUAUCCAUGAUCGUCUAUUUCUCUCGCCUAAAAUCUUAUCGCGAUCUUCCCAUUCACUCUCCCUUAUCACAGAUCUAAUUGCUCUUUCUCUCCAUCGUUUGUAGGUGUUGUUAUUCUCUCUUCUUCAUUGCUUUAGUGCUGUUGAUCUUCCUCUGUGCUACUGUUAUCUCUCUCUCGCUUCUGCUGCUCUCUCUUUGCGCUGCUGCUACUCGCUUCAUCGUUGUUAAAUCUGUGAGUUCUCUCUCCGUUAUUGCUGCUGCCUCUCAAAUAUGUUGUUCUCUUUUUAUGCUAUGCUCAUACUUGUGUUUCUCUGCUUGCUUAGUUGAGAAUUUUGUUUGAGACAUAAUUUUUUAAGAAUUCCAUUUGUUUUUUGAUUACUACUUUUCACCAUUUGGUUUCGGUGAUAUUCAGUUCUCUCUGUGAUAUGGUUUUUGGGAAAUUUCUUCCAUGUACCACUUGUUUUCAAUUGUCUUGUAGAACUCUUACAGUAGCAUGUCAAAAUAAUUUUUGCCCUUUUCAGUCUUUUUGUUGCCUUGUCCUUGUUUUAAAUUGUUUGUGGCAUGGUGUUUAUCUUCAGUAUUUUGUCUAUGGGUUCUUAUCUAGGAUUGCCUUGUCCUUGUUUUAAAUAUAAUUAUGUUUUUUUUGUUUCUUCACUAAAAUUUUUAUCUAGGAUUUUUCUCUUAAUUUUUUUUUGUUUUGGUUACAAAAUUCAAUCAUAAUUGAAAUUAUUGUAAUCCAAUGCAGGCCUAUGAGAGUAAUAAUCGACAAAUAUGACUGUGAAAUGAGUUUUAAGUUAAAAUGAGUACCUUGUUAAAGAAAUUCAAAAGCCACUUUUCAUUUCUUCACCAAACUUUUUCACCAUAAAGCCAAAAACAUAUAAGCUUUGCCAAAGUAAAGAGUGGAAUAUGUGUAAUUCUAGAAUUAUGAUAAAACGUUUUCUUAAUUUAUUUAGAUGAUAGUCAUGAAUAAGCCAAAAUUUAAGUAUUGCUUAUACAUUAGUUGGAUCCUCUUUCUGUCUCUGUUCCUUUUUUGCUAUGUUUAAUAGCCAUGGAAUCAUCUCAGCAAAUGGGGUAUUUUUUUCCUCCAUCCAUUAUGAAUUCUUAUCUUUGUGGCAACAUCAACAUCCAAUAACCACCACAGUCAUCAGUUGUCAGCUUAGCUUAACUGCCAUUAACAUAUUCUUUCAUCUCUAGUCUCUUAAUUAAGGCAAUUUAUUAUUUUUUAGCUCUUAUUAUGUAAAGAGCAAGCACCAUAUAUGGUGCAAUUUGGGGAUAGUACACAUUAUAUUGAAUGUGAGAUUAAUAUAAGUGCAGUUUCAUGAUUUUUUUUUUUAAACUUAAAAGCAUAGCUAAUCACUACUAGAAAAAUGGGCUACCAUAACAGAGAAUAUCUGUCAUCCGACACUCUUUAUGAUAGAGUUUCUAUACCGUGACAGUAAUUUAUCUAUCACAUGAGUUUAUGACAGAUUAUAGCUAUCACAAGCGUGUCACAAAAAAAGCGAUGUCGUUUUAAUAUUUUGGUGGUAAAUUUGUUUUAUUGUGAAAAAACUUUUGGUGGGUGUUAUGAAUUCAAUUUUAAAUUAUGACGGGUAAUUAUGUGUCGCAGCUUUAUGAUGUUAAUAUGGUGUCACGAUGAGAAUUUUUU
RNAcentral lists this long non-coding RNA (1780 nucleotides) under Citrus x clementina. RNAcentral describes it as "Citrus clementina (C. clementina) long non-coding RNA (CCLE_LNC006612)". Lineage: Eukaryota; Viridiplantae; Streptophyta; Magnoliopsida; Sapindales; Rutaceae. The record is from RNAcentral.